AUAGUCGGGGUUUCAAAGCCUCUC
This 24-nucleotide non-coding RNA is filed under the name Arabidopsis thaliana (thale cress). Lineage: Eukaryota; Viridiplantae; Streptophyta; Magnoliopsida; Brassicales; Brassicaceae. The record is from RNAcentral.